Molecule: ribosomal RNA, 1430 nt
Filed under: Streptomyces sp.
Lineage: Bacteria; Bacillati; Actinomycetota; Actinomycetes; Kitasatosporales; Streptomycetaceae
Description: bacterial SSU rRNA
Rfam family: Bacterial small subunit ribosomal RNA
Source: RNAcentral
GAAUGCGGCGUGCUACCUGCAGUCGAACGAUGACUCCGCUUCUGUGGUGGAUUAGUGGAGUACGGGUGAGUAACGUGUGGGCAAUCUGCCCUUCACUCUGGGACACGCCCUGGAAACGGGGUCGAGUACCUGAUAACACUCUGUCCCGCACGGGACGGGGUUGAAAGCUCCAGCGGUGAAUGAUGAACCCGCGGCCUAUCCACUUGUUGGAGGGGUAAUGGCCUACCAAGGCUACUACGGGUAGCCGGCCUGAAAAGGCGACCGGCCACCCUGGGACUGACACCCGGGCCAAACUCCUACGGGAGGCAGCAGUGGGGAAUAUUGCACAAUGGGCGAAUGCCUGAUGCCUCAACACCGCGUGAGGGAUGACCGCCUUCCGAUUGUAAACCUCUUUCGACAAGAAACAAGCGAAAGUGACGGUACCUGCACAACAAGCGCCCGCUAACUACGUGCCAGCAGCCGCGGUAAUACGUAGGGCGCAAGCGUUGUCCGGAAUUAUUGGGCGUAAAGAGCUCGUAGGCGGCUUGUCACGUCAGAUGUGAAAACCCGGGGCUUAACCCCGGGUCUGCAUUCGAUACGGGCUCCCUAUAGUGUGGUAGGAGAGAUCGGAAUUCCUGGUGUAGCGAUGAAAUGCGCAGAUAUCAGGAGGAACACCGGUGACGAAGACGGAUCUCUGUGGCCAUUACUGACGCUGAGGAGAGAAAGCGUGGGGAGCGAACAGGAUUAGAUACCCUGGUACUCCAACGCCGUACACGCUGGGAACUAGGUGUUGGCGACAUUCCAUCGUCCUCGGUGCCGCAGCUAACGCAUUAAGUUCCCCGCCUGGGGAGUACGGCCGCAAGGCUAAAACUCAAAGGAAUUGACGGGGGCCCGCACAAGCAGCGGAGCAUGUGGCUUAAUUGGACGCAACGCGAAGAACCUUACCAAGGCUUGACAUAUACCGGAAAGCAUCAGAGAUGGUGCCCCCCUUGUGGUCGGUAUACAGGUGGUGCAUGGCUGUCGUCAGCUCGUGUCGUGAGAUGUUGGGUUAAGUCCCGCAACGAGCGCAACCCUUGUUCUGUGUUGCCAGCAUGCCCUUGGGGGUGAUGGGGACUCACAGGAGACUGCCGGGGUCAACUCGGAGGAAGGUGGGGAGGACGUCAAGUCAUCAUGCCCGUUAUGUCUUGGGCUGCACACGUGCUACAAUGGCCGGUACAAUGAGCUGCGAUGCCGCGAGGCGGAGCGAAUCUCAAAAAGCCGGUUUCAGUUCGGAUUGGGGUUUGCAACUCGACCCCAUGAAGUAGGAGUUGCUAGUAAUUGCAGAUCAGCAUUGAUGCGGUGAAUACGUUCCCGGGCCUCGUACACACCGCCCGUCACGUCACGAAAGUCGGUAACACCCGAAGCCGGUGGCCCAACCCCUUGUGGGAGGGAGCUUCGAAGUGAUCUGAGGC